RNAcentral lists this ribosomal RNA (1727 nucleotides) under Obesumbacterium proteus. Its description in RNAcentral is "bacterial SSU rRNA". It matches the Rfam family "Bacterial small subunit ribosomal RNA". Lineage: Bacteria; Pseudomonadati; Pseudomonadota; Gammaproteobacteria; Enterobacterales; Hafniaceae. The record is from RNAcentral.
CCGGUGAUUGGCAGGGUAAUCUUCUCCUAGUGGUCCGAUCGUGGCACAAGAGAGCGUUGCUCUCUGGGUGACGAGCGGCGGACGGGUGAGUAAUGUCUGGGAAACUGCCUGUAUGGAGGGGGAUAACUACUGGAAACGGUAGCUAAUACCGCAUGAUGUCUUCGGACCAAAGUGGGGGACCUUCGGGCCUCACGCCAUCAGAUGUGCCCAGAUGGGAUUAGCUAGUAGGUGGGGUAAUGGCUCACCUAGGCGACGAUCUCUAGCUGGUCUGAGAGGAUGACCAGCCACACUGGAACUGAGACACGGUCCAGACUCCUACGGGAGGCAGCAGUGGGGAAUAUUGCACAAUGGGCGCAAGCCUGAUGCAGCCAUGCCGCGUGUAUGAAGAAGGCCUUCGGGUUGUAAAGUACUUUCAGCGAGGAGGAAGGCAUUGUGGUUAAUAACCACAGUGAUUGACGUUACUCGCAGAAGAAGCACCGGCUAACUCCGUGCCAGCAGCCGCGGUAAUACGGAGGGUGCAAGCGUUAAUCGGAAUUACUGGGCGUAAAGCGCACGCAGGCGGUUGAUUAAGUCAGAUGUGAAAUCCCCGAGCUUAACUUGGGAACUGCAUUUGAAACUGGUCAGCUAGAGUCUUGUAGAGGGGGGUAGAAUUCCAAGUGUAGCGGUGAAAUGCGUAGAGAUCUGGAGGAAUACCGGUGGCGAAGGCGGCCCCCUGGACAAAGACUGACGCUCAGGUGCGAAAGCGUGGGGAGCAAACAGGAUUAGAUACCCUGGUAGUCCACGCUGUAAACGAUGUCGACUUGGAGGUUGGUGCCCUUGAGGCGUGGCUUCCGGAGCUAACGCGUUAAGUCGACCGCCUGGGGGAGUACGGCCGCAGGAACUGCAUUUGAAACUGGUCAGCUAGAGUCUUGUAGAGGGGGGUAGAAUUCCAGGUGUAGCGGUGAAAUGCGUAGAGAUCUGGAGGAAUACCGGUGGCGAAGGCGGCCCCCUGGACAAAGACUGACGCUCAGGUGCGAAAGCGUGGGGAGCAAACAGGAUUAGAUACCCUGGUAGUCCACGCUGUAAACGAUGUCGACUUGGAGGUUGUGCCCUUGAGGCGUGGCUUCCGGAGCUAACGCGUUAAGUCGACCGCCUGGGGAGUACGGCCGCAAGGUUAAAACUCAAAUGAAUUGACGGGGGCCCGCACAAGCGGUGGAGCAUGUGGUUUAAUUCGAUGCAACGCGAAGAACCUUACCUACUCUUGACAUCCAGAGAAUUUGCCAGAGAUGCCUUAGUGCCUUCGGGAACUCUGAGACAGGUGCUGCAUGGCUGUCGUCAGCUCGUGUUGUGAAAUGUUGGGUUAAGUCCCGCAACGAGCGCAACCCUUAUCCUUUGUUGCCAGCACGUAAUGGUGGGAACUCAAAGGAGACUGCCGGUGAUAAACCGGAGGAAGGUGGGGAUGACGUCAAGUCAUCAUGGCCCUUACGAGUAGGGCUACACACGUGCUACAAUGGCAUAUACAAAGAGAAGCGAACUCGCGAGAGCAAGCGGACCUCAUAAAGUAUGUCGUAGUCCGGAUUGGAGUCUGCAACUCGACUCCAUGAAGUCGGAAUCGCUAGUAAUCGUAGAUCAGAAUGCUACGGUGAAUACGUUCCCGGGCCUUGUACACACCGCCCGUCACACCAUGGGAGUGGGUUGCAAAAGAAGUAGGUAGCUUAACCUUCGGGAGGGCGCUUACCUAAUAGGCG